CUAAGCACAGGAUUGGGAAUUAGCUCCUCACUAAACACGGACUCUCUAAUUUAGUAUUUGCUUUUUUUUAGCUACUCCUAAGUCGAGUUUUGCGUGGCCAAUCUCGCAUGUAGAUAAUUUGCAUUAGCAUAAAGACAAAGACGGAUUAGCGUAUAUUUCAUGCCAUGUAAUAUGAUUAAAGAUGUUGGCAAUUUUAUAAUAUUUCCUCUCCUUCAAGUAUUUCCUUCUUUUUGUGUCGUUAUUUACUAAUUUUCUCCUACUUAACAUUUCCUACAUUGCUUUAAGAACUUCCUAAUGACACUUAAUGUUAUGCUUCAAGUUUGAUUUAAUGAGCGUAGUCAAAAGGUCACGAAUGCUCUGCUUUUAACUCAUUUGGAAAUGUCACUUUGUUAAUUUAAACUGGCAGUUGAAUGAUUACGUGUAAAUAUAAACCCCAUAAUACAAUAGACUUUCCCCCAAACCCAAAACACAUAUAAAAUACUAUAUUGUAUAGCAACCACAAAUAAGCAACUGACAUAAAACAAUGUAAUGGAAACCUGUGCACGUGGCGCAAGUUUAAGUAUAAAUUACCACAAUAAAUAUAAGCUCAGCCGUCGGGCAACAAUAAUGCCAACUACAGUAAAAAACAACAACUAUUAUAAGGAAGCACAGCAACAACAAGAACAACAACUAAAGCAAGAGCUUACGCACAAGCGCCUUUCCUAUAAUGGCCUCAAAACAAAAAGGCAACGGAAACUGUUGUACGACGAAGGCAUUGAGAGGAGAAUGAAAAGCGAAUAACAAAAGCAACAAAAAACAGCUAUAUCAAAAAGUAGAAGAAGAUUUUCACCGUAAGCGUGACGUGUCGAAAUGAGUCUCAACAGAUAUUUGUUUUCAUUACGAGAUGAAAUUGUAAAUGUCGCUGAAGUUUUUUAAUUUUUUGCAAUUUGUCGAAAUGGCGGAGGAUGCAAUUUCCGGGACUCGCUGCACGUUGUUAAAACGCCGCCCAAAGGCUUCAAUUGCAAUUUUCUCGCGCAAUUUCAUGAACAUUACGAAGUAUGAUUCCUGGCCAGCAAAUUGCAUUUUGGCAUGCCUGGUCUGCAGUUACCUUACACGAACUAUGUCCUUUCACAGCUCUCAGCUCCCAACUCCGACUGCGACUUCAAGCUCAUUGCACUUUGUUUUUAUUAGACCGUUCUGGCGUCAUCGGCAUAAUAAGUUUCAGUUUCAAUUGCCCCUUAACGCGCCAGCAAACAAAAGGACAACUGCAGGAGCCCAAACACUGGCAUAGAGUAAGGACUCGUAGGUAAAACAAAUGGCACUUGCUCUUGUAGCAAUGGCAACCAUAAGCAUAACCACUUUCCUCUUUGCAUCUGACUGUAUUCUUUAUUAACCAGCAACAGAGUGUUUCUGAUACCCUCUGCUGGUAAGAAACCUGAAAUGGAAUUGCUUAACUAUUUCAACUGCAUUCGAAUGAACUGAGCACAAAGUAUCUGCAAGUCGGACAUUUCUAGGUUUCAUAACUGAGUUUUUAUUAUUUUUAUUUCACCAGAAUUCUGAGUGCUCUUUCAGCUACAUAGUUUGGUUUGGUUUGGUUGCUGCGCGAGUUUUGGGGCAAAAAAAAUAUAGCAGGAAAAAGGAAAAUAAAUUCUAGAAAUAUUAUUUUUGGGUAACUUUUGUUCUGCUUCGGCGCGCAUUGCUUGUGGGCAGUUUUAAUUUUGUUGCAAACUUUUUCCGUGCGAGGUUU
Drosophila sulfurigaster albostrigata is the source of this 1726-nucleotide long non-coding RNA. RefSeq lists it as uncharacterized. Lineage: Eukaryota; Metazoa; Arthropoda; Insecta; Diptera; Drosophilidae. The transcript is spliced from 3 exons. The record is from RefSeq and is a predicted model, not a curated record.